UAAAUUCCUCUCGCAGCCUCGCUCUCGCUCUCGCUCGCAGCCAUACCAAUCGGCGCGAUCCGGCGCGCGCGACGACGGAACCGGAAGCAAAACCCUAGCUCCGACCUCCGACUUCCGAUUCCGAUUCCCACCGCCGCGCCGCGCCGCGCCGCGCCGCUCCGCCCACCUCCUCCCCUCCCCCGCCUCGCCGCCUAUGGCGAGCGGCGCGUCCGAUGGCGAGCCCCGCCGCAAGCACCGCCGCUCCUCCUCCCCCCCGGCCGCCGCAGCCACCUCCUCCUCCCCCCGCGGCGGCGGCGAUGGCGGCGAAGGGGACGGCACGGACAGGACCUCGAAGAGGCACAAGCACCGCCACGGCCACCGGCACCGCCACGGCCGCGGCCACCGCCACGCCGGCAAGAAGGCCGAGGAGGAAGCUGGUUCCGGGGGCGGCGGCGAGGGCGUCGAUUCUCCUUCCCCCCCUCCUCCUCCUCCUCCUCCUGCUGCUUCUGCUGUUGCCUUGCCUCCUCCUCCGCCGCCGGCCUCUUCGAGGCGCGAUGACGACGUGGAGGAAGGAGAGAUUCUCGAAGAUGAGGGUUCUGAGCCUGUUGAGGAGCUUGACUUUAAGUAUCUGGUAAAUAAUUCUGAAUCUGGUGUGCCGUCUGCCGAAAGAAGCGUUGGAGUUGUUUCUGGAAAUUCAAAGUCGAUGGUUGAUGAACUCCAGUCAGCAGUUGCCGAUGAUAGUAAAGUAAAUGGCGGUUUAGGUCACGAGAGUCGUGGACCUAGAUUCCACUCUAAAGGUAACGACAAGGCUAAGAACCGAUAUAGUGCUGACACCACAGAGAGUGGAGACGGUGAUGUAAGUGAUCCCGCCGAUAGACACAAGACAUCCCCCUGCUCACCAAGUUCUGAUAGAUACAGAGAUGAUGGAUCGAGGUUGCGAGAUUUUGUGAGGGAAAGAUCUCGUUCUCAGAGCAGUUUACCAUAUGGAGGCUCACCUUUAAAACGAACAAACCAUAUGGAAAGAGAAAAGGAAAGGGAGUCCUCAUAUUUUUUCGAGAAAAGCAAGAUUGAAUAUGAUUCAGAUGAUCAAAAUAUGACUUGGCGCAGCAAGGAUAAAUUGCAUAGCGCUAGAGAUAUUGCGAAGGGCGAGGAAAGGGAAAGGAUCAACUCUGACAGAAGGUAUGGUAGCAUGGAGGAUCAGCAUUACAGCAGGGAGAGGAGCAUCGAAGAUAAAAGCAUGGGAAGUUAUGUUGACGCAGUAGAUAGGAGAAGGGAAGAACGAGAAAAAAGCAAAGAUAGGGAUGUGGACCGGGUCCAUAGAAAGAAAAGUGAACGUGAAAGGAGCAAAGAUAGGGAUGUUGACAGGGACUAUAGAAAGAAAAGUGCACGAGAACGGAGCAUUGGCAGGGAGUUGGAGUGGGAUAGGGGAAGAGAGAAAGAAAGAGAAAUGAGCAGGGAGAGGGACUUGGAGAGGGAUAGGAGAGGAGAUAGAGAUAGAGAAAGAGAAAUGAGCAGGGAGAGGGAUAUGGAUAGGGAUAGGAGAAGAGAGAGAGAAAGAGAAAUGAGCCGGGAGACUGACAUUGAUAGGGAUAGGAGAAAAGAGAGAGAAAGAGAAAUGAGCCGGGAGACUGACAUUGAUAGGGAUAGGAGAAGAGAAAUAGAAAGAGAAAGGAGCUGGGAGAGGGACAUGGAUAGGGAUAGAAGAAGAGAGAAGAAGAGGGAGAGGAGUAUAGAGAGGGAUCGAGAGAGAGAUAGAAGAAGGGAAAGAGAAAGAGAAAGAGAAAGAGAAAGAGAAAGGAGCUGGGAUAGGCCCAGAGAUGGUAGGAGAGACAAGGACAGAGAGAGAAUCAGGGAGAGGAGUAGGGAUAGGAGCUGGAGAUCAGAGCGGAUGGAUGAUGGAAGGAGGGAGGAACGUAGGGAUGGCCGGAGUGGCAACAAGUACGAAAAUGUCGAAGAUGGUUAUGUUGAUAAGCAUGGAUAUUCAAAGCACCCAAGACGAAAUGAAGUGGAAGAUGACAUUGAUAGAAUAAGUAGAGGGGUUUCAACAAAAAUGAGCACUGCAACAGCUAGUACUAUGGAUGGUGAUAAGGAAGUACACAGAAGCGAUGAGGAUGAAAAGGAUGACCUUGAUGGAAAGUUUUCAUUGGAGAUAGCUGAGCAGGAAGAGGAGGAUCUCAAUAGAAUUAAGGAAGAAAGUAGAAGACGAAGGCAAGCCAUUAUGGAGAAGUACAAGAAUUUGCAGCAGCAGCAGCAGCAGCAACAAGAAGAGCAUGUGCAGCCUCAGGCGGAGGAUGCGGUGGAAGACAAAGCACGUCCAGAAAAAUCAACAGCAGAAGUUCAUGGAAGUAUUGCUGAAGGUGUGGAUUCAUCUGUUGCCGAACCGUCAUUUUCUAUUGGAAAAUCGCCUCUUCGAAAUGGAAUUACUGCUACUGAUGGGAGCUCUGGUGAAAGAGGUCUAGGAGAGGGUACGCCGAAGAGUGAGGGAUCGGAUGACAUCUUCUGUGAUGAUAUAUUUGGAGAUUCACCCGCUGGUGCACGUAAGACGGGUAAAGGAGGUGGUUUACCUGUCGAAAGGAGCGGUCUCCAUGACAAUUGGGAUGAUGCAGAGGGAUACUAUAGCUAUCGAUUUGGUGAGAUACUUGAUGGCCGAUAUGAAGUUAUUGCUGCACAUGGGAAGGGAGUUUUUUCGACUGUAGUUCGUGCGAAAGAUUUGAAGGCUGGCAUUGGUGAACCAGAAGAAGUGGCAAUAAAAAUACUGCGAAAUAAGGAGGCCAUGUACAAGGCUGGUGUUGAGGAGCUUGGCAUAUUGAAAAAAUUAGUAGGUGCAGAUCCUGAAGACAAGCGGCACUGCGUUCGUUUACUUUCCAGUUUUAAAUACCGCAAUCAUCUUUGCCUGGUUUUUGAAUCUCUUAAUAUGAAUCUACGUGAAGUUUUAAAGAAGUUUGGUCGCAAUAUUGGUCUUAAAUUAACUGCUGUUAGGGCUUAUGCGAAGCAACUCUUUAUUGCUCUGAAGCAUCUCCGAAACUGUGGUGUCCUUCAUUGUGAUAUAAAGCCUGAUAACGUGCUGGUUAACGAGGCAAAAAAUGUGUUGAAGCUUUGUGAUUUUGGAAAUGCCAUGUAUGCUGGAAAGAAUGAAAUCACACCAUAUCUCGUGAGUCGCUUUUAUCGUUCCCCAGAAAUCAUUCUUGGCUUGCCUUACGAUCAUCCAUUGGAUAUGUGGUCUGUGGGUUGCUGUUUAUAUGAGCUUUACGCUGGGAAAGUUCUUUUUCCUGGCGCUACCAACAAUGACAUGCUUCGUCUACACAUGGAAUUGAAAGGCCCUCUUCCAAAGAAACUGCUUCGAAAGGCAGCAUUUGCAGACCAGCAUUUUGAUGCAGACCUGAAUUUUCUUGCUAUAGAAGAGGAUUCUGUCACCAAAAAGAGCAUAAGGAGAAUGAUUCUUAACAUCAAGCCUAAGGAUAUUGGGUCGAUUAUCAAGGGUUCUCCUGGUGAGGAUCCAAAGAUGUUAGCUAACUUUAAGGAUCUUCUAGACAAAAUUUUUGUAUUGGAUCCGGACAAGAGGAUGACCGUACAACAAGCUUUGAAUCAUCCUUUCAUCACUGGCAAGUGAAACAUGUUGCUGAUUUUUGACUCCAGAAUGCUGUUGCAUUUGAUAAUUGUCUUUGGAAGAUAAUUCUUAUUCAGAAUAUCUAAUCAUUUCGGCAUUAUCUUUGCUUAAUUACCUGUGCUGGAAGAAGAGCUUCAAGAGGGUUUAUGCCAUUAUUGAAGGGGGAUGACAUUUGUUCAAGAAUACACUUUACUGGCGGUUCUUUCAGUGGAAUGUACUGUUCCUAUUGAUCUCUCCCACUGCUUUGAGGCAACCUUCCAGUGUUUAAUUGCUUUACAAAGGCACCCUGGAGAAGGUACCUUGGUUUGUUGAUUGGGAGCUUGUUGUGAAACCUUGAAAGUACUAAAUAGUGCUCUGUGCUAUAUGUUGUACCCAUUUCGCCUAAAAUGAGCCAUCAUGAUUGUGAGUCACAUGAGCUGUAUGGGCUUGAUAAACAUCGUUGUAUAGGGGAAAUCGAAAAGUUUUUCUGUUUGAUGCUGUAUUGUGAUCCCUUGUAUAAGCGCGCUAAUUGUUAGGGGGUCAUUGAAUGUGGAUGUGACAAUUCCCUCUUAGUGUUUGUAAUUUGCAUCGAACUGAUGUUUUUGUCAUCUAUUUCUCUAAUUAAUAAGUGAGGAGAUUUUGUCAGCCAUUCUUUUUUGUGUGAUUUUCCCUUGUUUUUUGUAUCAUAUAUGUGCAUAGUCUAAUCAAGUUAUGUUACAUCUGAUCCAUGGACUAAUGACUCUGGAGGCUAUUACGCUGGAGACUUAUUGCAGCAACCUUCAAAGUGGAAGGAUGCGUCCGGCACAGGUUCCAUGCUUCUGCGAGUCUCGUAAGUAUCUUCAUAUCCUAUAGGUAAUCGUUAUCCAUGCAAGUUAAGAUUUUUUUCUUUCUUUUUCCCUCACUAGUAUUAGAUUCUUCCGUCAGUCUAUAAUUUAGUCUUUUCAAUGCUCUAUGUUUCACAUAAGUUAGCAAUUAGUAAGGUGUCAUUGCUGGCCUUCAUAUGGGAAAUAAGCAUGUAGGGUUGAUUUUGUAGUCCCUGCUAGCUGAGUUGUGAGCCCAGAAUUAUGGGGGCAUAAGCAACUCAAUUGGGUAAACAGGUAUUAAAAGUUUAGAGAAAUAUACAUCCAUUAUAUUGGGAAUUGAAGGAAGAGUAAUGGACUUUUACUGGACAUUUUAUGGCAAUAGCAGUUUUACUUUGCGUGUAUGAAUAACUGAACAUUUUAUUACCUGGCGAAGGGCUAUAUAUAGUCUACUUUGAACAGUGCAACAUUUCUUAUUACUGUACUGGACUGCGAAUGUGCAUGGAUCUCUACAUGUUGUCGCCUUCAUUACUUUUUGGAUUAACAUCCCUCUCCUUUUGAACUUCAAAGGAUCGUUCUGUACUGGACUUCCUUUUUGGUAGUGGGACAUGGUUUAAUACUUGAGGCUCUUUAUGAGCACUCAAGGAUUCAUAUAUGUCAUGUAAGCCAAGUGUUAUGUGGGUCUUACGCUGGGUGUUUGGAAAAAUGUAAUGGACAAUGGAUAAUGAUUUGUCUUUGUGUACUGUUCUCACUAAGAUCCUAGAGGUCCUGGUUUUGAAUCAUACCUUCCAGACCCCUUCACAAAAAGAGAGAAUAGAGAGAGUUGGUGAUAUGAAUCUGGGUAAUUUUGCAGAUAUGAUACUGGCAAUUGACAGUAUUAUUGUAAAGUUUGAUUGAAUGGGGUUCGUUAAUGCAAUAGAAGGUUUGAGAAGAUGUCCUAUCCUGAAUGCAAUGCAAUUCAAGUUUCUCUGCAGUAGCGGACUUCACAGACGAGUGUUUCACAGUUUAGAGACAGUUAAAUUGUUGCCUCUGUAUGAAGUAAAAAUUCCCUGCCGACAAGCUCACAAGAAGAAGAUAGCAACCUAUUGAAACAUGACUUUCGACAGAGUCUGGUGGCGAUUUGUAUGAUGCUUAUUUAUCAUCCAUGAUCACUUGACAUUAUAAAUUGAAUACAUCACUAUUAACUUGCUUC
RNA transcript from Syzygium oleosum, 5557 nucleotides. RefSeq lists it as uncharacterized. The record is from RefSeq and is a predicted model, not a curated record. The transcript is spliced from 14 exons. Lineage: Eukaryota; Viridiplantae; Streptophyta; Magnoliopsida; Myrtales; Myrtaceae.